Oncorhynchus tshawytscha (Chinook salmon) is the source of this 387-nucleotide long non-coding RNA. The record is from Ensembl. Lineage: Eukaryota; Metazoa; Chordata; Actinopteri; Salmoniformes; Salmonidae.
UGGAAAGGUAGGCCUACUCUGUCUGGGGUGGAAAGGUAGGCCUACUCUGUCUGGGGUGGAAAGGUAGGCCCUACUCUGUCUGGGGUGGAAAGGUAGGCCCUACUCUGUCUGGGGUGGAAAGGUAGGCCCUACUCUGUCUGGGGUGGAAAGGUAGGCCUACUCUAUCUGGAGUUAAAAGGUAGGGGGGUGGAAAGGUAGGUCCUACUCUGUCUGGGGUGGAAAGGUAGGCCUACUCUGUCUGGGGUGGAAAGGUAGGCCUACUCUGUCUGGGGUGGAAAGGUAGGUCCUACUCUGUCUGGGGUGGAAAGGUAGGUCCUACUCUGUCUGGGGUGGAAAGGUAGGUCCUACUCUGUCUGGGGUGGAAAGGUAGGUCCUACUCUGUCUGGG